UACACUCCUACGGGAGGCAGCAGUGGGGAAUAUUGGACAAUGGGCGCAAGCCUGAUCCAGCCAUGCCGCGUGAGUGAUGAAGGCCCUAGGGUUGUAAAGCUCUUUCACCGGUGAAGAUAAUGACGGUAACCGGAGAAGAAGCCCCGGCUAACUUCGUGCCAGCAGCCGCGGUAAUACGAAGGGGGCUAGCGUUGUUCGGAUUUACUGGGCGUAAAGCGCACGUAGGCGGACUAUUAAGUCAGGGGUGAAAUCCCGGGGCUCAACCCCGGAACUGCCUUUGAUACUGGUAGUCUUGAGUUCGAGAGAGGUGAGUGGAAUUCCGAGUGUAGAGGUGAAAUUCGUAGAUAUUCGGAGGAACACCAGUGGCGAAGGCGGCUCACUGGCUCGAUACUGACGCUGAGGUGCGAAAGCGUGGGGAGCAAACAGGAUUAGAUACCCCAGUAGUCCC
This 448-nucleotide ribosomal RNA is filed under the name uncultured organism. RNAcentral describes it as "partial 16S ribosomal RNA". It matches the Rfam family "Bacterial small subunit ribosomal RNA", at positions 332 to 797 of the family's 1533-position model. The record is from RNAcentral.